This 214-nucleotide small nucleolar RNA is filed under the name Jaculus jaculus (lesser Egyptian jerboa). Its description in RNAcentral is "Small nucleolar RNA U3 (ENSJJAG00000005227.1)". It matches the Rfam family "Small nucleolar RNA U3". Rfam says of the family: Small nucleolar RNAs (snoRNAs) are involved in the processing and modification of rRNA in the nucleolus. There are two main classes of snoRNAs: the box C/D class, and the box H/ACA class. U3 snoRNA is a member of the box C/D class. The record is from RNAcentral. Lineage: Eukaryota; Metazoa; Chordata; Mammalia; Rodentia; Dipodidae.
AAGACUAUACUUUCAGGGACCAUUUCUACAGUUCAUCACUAGAGAAGUUUCUCUGACCAUGUAGAAUACAGGAAACCACGAGGAUGAGGUGCAGUGUUCUCUCCUGAGCGUGAAGCCUGCUCUUGUUGUUGCUUUGCUGCAACUGCUACUUGCCAUUGAUGAUCAUUCCUGCCCUCCUUGGAGAAGCUGGAGGGAGAGGACGCAGUCUGAGUGU